AACGCACCUUGCACUCCUUGGUAUUCCGAGGAGUAUGCCUGUUUGAGUGUCAUGAAAUUAUCAACUUCAUAGUUUUCUAAUGAUAACAAAGCUGGAUAACGGCGGAGUCAUCUUAAAUUAUGAAGCUUGGACUUGGAAGUUGCUGGCUAAUUUACUGUCAGCUCUUCUUAAAUGUAUUAGCUACUCGUCCUGUGAGUUGGCUCAGAGUGUGAUAAGUUAUCUACACUUGGUGGCUGCUUGCUAUAGGAUGUGGCUUAUAAUCGUCUUCGGACAACUUUUAAGAUCUGACCUCAAAUCAGGUAGGACUACCCGCUGAACUUAA
RNAcentral lists this unclassified non-coding RNA (322 nucleotides) under uncultured fungus. RNAcentral's name for it is "partial contains 5.8S ribosomal RNA, internal transcribed spacer 2, and large subunit ribosomal RNA". The stretch from base 1 to 52 matches the Rfam family "5.8S ribosomal RNA", at positions 103 to 154 of the family's 154-position model. The record is from RNAcentral. Lineage: Eukaryota; Fungi.